Passer domesticus (house sparrow) is the source of this 603-nucleotide long non-coding RNA. RefSeq lists it as uncharacterized. The transcript has 4 exons. Lineage: Eukaryota; Metazoa; Chordata; Aves; Passeriformes; Passeridae. The record is from RefSeq and is a predicted model, not a curated record.
CUGCGCUGCUCCAGCCACCCCUCCCAGGGAUGUUGCUGAGGGCAGGGAAAGAGUGUGGAGAGUGACCAGGAGCCAGCCCAGAGCACCCCAGGCCCCUGUGCACCUUUGGCCAUGUCUAUUCACAUCCGGCUCCCACGGCCUUACCCGACCCCCUUGCAGUGCCCAGUUCCCUGUGGCAGAAGGGGAUCCCAGCACACCCUGGAAAGUGUUCUCAUCUGUGCUCCGUUCUAGAUGAGGGUGCUGGGAAGGCUUCUCCAUCAGCUUGGAGGAAGAAAGUUUUGAAGCCCUUGGAGCCUCCUGCAGAUGUGUCUACAGGGAAGACUUCUCCAGCUUCUCCAGCUCCUACCUUGGAUGCUAUACGCAAGCCCAGCUCCCAUCACAGUGGUACUCCAACAGGGAAAAUCCAAGAUAGAACAGAUAAGAUGUCCCUGCAACCAUCCAAACAGAUGAGGCAAGAGCUGAAGGAACCCCUGCAGACAAGGCAAGAGAUGGGCAUAGUGCUUCAGUGGAAGGUGGCAUUUCUUGAAGGAAGCACUCCAUCUUCGGUGCCAGCCCCUGCUGCAGGAAGGAAGGCGAUGCCAGACACGGGCACAGGCACAGCAG